CGACUGAGAGUGGUCUGUCCCCGCCCCUUUCUGUUUGUUGCAGCGAGGUCUUUCUCUCUUGUGGGGCCAACCUAACACAACUUAUAACGGUCGGACAUCCUGUUUAAAAAGAAGUCGAAGUAUGUCACCUAAUACAUAUGAGGUGUGGAGGAUGAUAAUGAGGACCAGCCACCGGAGAAAGAAGUCCCUGUUUGACCGAAGAGAAAGAAGCAGAUGAAAUAUUCUCCAAGAAAAUUAGUGACCAUAGUGGAUUGAGUCAUCACCCACUAUAAAAAUGUCCAGAAGAGAUUCACCAAGUUUGAAUUCAUGAAAAGGCUUUCACCAUGAUUAACAUUGACCACAACCAUAGCAAGAACAGCUAUAAUUUCGAGCAUUUCCAGACACCUUUAAAGUGCUGCUUCCAGGAAAUUAAGACAAGAAGAAGAUCUCCCUGUUUUCAGAGCGUUACAGGAAGGCUAUAACAAAGGAGAUGGCUGACACAAUUAAAGCAAAAAAUGUUAGGACUGUUUAAAGAACCUAUUUUCUUAAGUUAAAGAAUAAUGUAAUUCUGUUUGUUUUUCAAUCAGUAUUUCAGAGUUACAAUAUACUGACCAGAAGUUAAACCUUCUGUUUGAAGAACAAGUAAUGCUUUGUUUAAUUCCAAUGUACAAAGAGUUUGUUCUUCAGCUUUGAUGGUAGUUAUAAAUAGUCUAGUGUUUUCCACUUCACUUGAGGUAAAACUUAGUAUUAAUGACUGUUAAUAUAGGACUUGACACUGUAAUGACAAUUAAUGAAAUCUUUAUAACUGUUGCUACUUGUUUCACUUUACUUGAGGUAAGAGUUAACAUUAAUGACAUUGUAAUAACACUUAAUGACAUGUCCAUAACUGGUGCUACUUGUUCCACUUGAUGUAAGAGGAAUUAUUAAUGACUCUGUUAUUAAAAUAUUUGACAGUGUAAUAAACAGUGAAAUCUUUAUUUCAUUAAGCUUGUUCCACUUUAUUUCAGGUAGGGGGAAAUAUUUUAUUUAUACUAUUUCUUUCAAGCUUUUGACAGCAUAAUAACACUUAAUGACAUUAUUACGCCUAUGCCUAUGACAUAUUUCUG
This is a long non-coding RNA of Xiphophorus maculatus (southern platyfish), 1085 nucleotides long. RefSeq lists it as uncharacterized. The record is from RefSeq and is a predicted model, not a curated record. NCBI's taxonomy places the organism in Eukaryota, Metazoa, Chordata, Actinopteri, Cyprinodontiformes, Poeciliidae. The transcript has 3 exons.